RNAcentral lists this non-coding RNA (28 nucleotides) under Rattus norvegicus (Norway rat). The record is from RNAcentral. Lineage: Eukaryota; Metazoa; Chordata; Mammalia; Rodentia; Muridae.
UAUCAUGAGUAAAGUAUGAGAUGAGGAC